Molecule: long non-coding RNA, 1411 nt
Filed under: Homo sapiens (human)
Lineage: Eukaryota; Metazoa; Chordata; Mammalia; Primates; Hominidae
Description: HSALNT0363735
Source: RNAcentral
CCUGUGCCCGUGACCCACUUCGACAAUUACCAACACAGUUUCUGCUUUUACACACAUUGAUUCGAUGAACAUUUUGUUUGUCUUUGUCCACAUUCCACACUGUUUCCUUUCAUUUAUGCUGAAUUCAAUUCCACUCAAACCACUUCCUCAAACCCUCACAAUGCCCUCCCAGCAUGCCUAGUGAUAUGAUGGAUCCGACCUUGCCCUACCCGGUCUGGUGGGGGCUACCGGUCUGGUGGGGGAGGUGGAUACUGGAUUGGAGUGAUCGGUAGGGAUGGAGGGUGUGUAAGUGGAGAGAGCCCUCACCCUAUUACCCAGGAAGGGCACUUCACACUGGACUCACCCCACCCAGAGAUGCCCAUCCACCUCUGCCCAGCCCUGCCUUUCUCCCCUGCUGCCACACGGAGGCGACAGAGCAACCCUUCCACAGCUGCCUCUGGACGUUCUCCCAUCAGCAACGUGGAUGGGUGGCUGAGGUGGGAUCUGUGCCUUCUGCAGAUGAUCCCGGCCUGGUGAUGGCCCUCUUUUGGGCUGAGACUCCUCACGCGGAAGAUGAUGGAGGUGGAUGUUGUGAGUCCUCUGGUCCUCCAGCACUUCAAUCCAGCCUCCCACGGCAAGCCAGUUCUCGGCAACUGUGUGCCUGGGGUUCCACUCCCAGCACCUGCUUCUGGAUGGCCUGGGGGAUCCACCUGGGUGCCCCUCCACUCCGGGUCCCAGGGGAGACUGACACCCACCCAGGCAACCACCUGCUUGUUACAGAGCCCUGCAGGAGGCAGCUCACCACCCACGAGGAGGGACUUAGGCAGCGGACUUGCUGAGGGGUAAGGGUCUGCCCCAUGAUGCCUCACAGCUCCACCUUCUGGGAGCCACCCACGUGUGGGCAGCCUCAGGGGACUCCAGCUCCAGGAGCAAGAUCGGGUUGUGGAUGGAGGAAGGCAGAGCCUUGUGAGGCAAAUAUUAUCACACUAAUUUCACAAAGGAGGAAGUCAAAGCUGGCCCUGCAGUAUGAAGACUCAAGCCCAGACUUGCUGGCUCCUGCCUGCAUCUCCCUCCACCUGGGUCUCCUGUCUCCCUACCUGCGGAAAGCUCACACUCUGAAUCAUUGUGCAUGGCUCUUACCCCGCCCACCCCAUCCUUGCGGCUGCUCACCUCCUGCAUCACCUGUGCCCACUCAACAGCACACAUGCCCACAAGCUCACAUGCACCAAGAUGGGCGCACUGGGUGCACGGGUGCACAUGCAUAUUCCAGUCCUUACUGCUGCUUAUCAGCUGUGUGACCUUGAGCAAGUCACUUAACCUCUCUGAGCCUCGGUUUUCUCAUCUCACAGGGGUUGUUAUGAGAAUUAAAUAAGAUACUGAGUGUAACAUUUCUAGUACCUUCCCUGGGCAUAGUGCUCAAUAAAGAUUAUCU